This 256-nucleotide ribosomal RNA is filed under the name uncultured bacterium. RNAcentral describes it as "partial 16S ribosomal RNA". It matches the Rfam family "Bacterial small subunit ribosomal RNA", at positions 524 to 777 of the family's 1533-position model. The record is from RNAcentral.
UACGAAGGGGGCUAGCGUUGCUCGGAAUCACUGGGCGUAAAGGGUGCGUAGGCGGGUCUUUAAGUCAGGGGUGAAAUCCUGGAGCUCAACUCCAGAACUGCCUUUGAUACUGAGGAUCUUGAGUUCGGGAGAGGUGAGUGGAACUGCGAGUGUAGAGGUGAAAUUCGUAGAUAUUCGCAAGAACACCAGUGGCGAAGGCGGCUCACUGGCCCGAGUACUGACGCUGAGGCACGAAAAGCGUGGGGAGCAAACAGGG